Molecule: ribosomal RNA, 468 nt
Filed under: uncultured eukaryote
Lineage: Eukaryota
Description: eukaryotic LSU rRNA
Rfam family: Eukaryotic large subunit ribosomal RNA
Source: RNAcentral
UUUCUUCAUUACCCGCUGAAUUUAAGCAUAUUAUUAAGCGGUGAGAAAAGAAAUCAAAUGAGAUUGGAUUAGUAGUGGCGAACGAAGAUCCAAGAAAAACAAGAUCAAAGGAAAAGAGAUAAUUGAGAAAAAUCAAAAUUCUUGGUUAUCUGAUGCUCCUUUUGAGUUAGAAAGUGACGGAAAAGAUAGCCUCGUACUUGUUUAUUGUUUUAUUGAAAUUUGAAUGGAAAUUCAUUUGCCAUAGAAGGUGAAAGCCCCUGUAAUAAAAAACAACAAGUCUGGAGGUCGAGAAUGAAAUCGUUUUUAACUCUAGAGUCGCAUUGGUUGGGAAUCCAAUGUCAAAUGGGAGGUAUACUUCUUCUAAAAUCUAAAAUAUGAGACUGAGACCGAUAGAGAAAAAAGUACUGCGAAAGGAACGUUGAAAAAGAAUUUCGUAAAAGAAAAAGUCAAAAGAACAUGAAAUGGAGA